Molecule: long non-coding RNA, 449 nt
Organism: Mastomys coucha (southern multimammate mouse)
Lineage: Eukaryota; Metazoa; Chordata; Mammalia; Rodentia; Muridae
Exons: 4
Source: RefSeq, a predicted model, not a curated record
GGGGUGUCUCGGAAGUGACGACACAGAGCACGCCAUUAAAUAGCAAUAGGCCGCCCUCCCCGCUCUCUCGGUUUAGCGCCAUCUUCCUUGAGACUCCUACGCCAUGAGAGCGAAGUGGCGGAAGAAGAGAAUGCGCAGGCUGAAGCGCAAGAGAAGAAAGAUGAGGCAGAGGUCCAAGUAAGCCAGUUUGUGCACCCACGAAGCCCGCAGAACCAGAAGUAAGGGAUGCUGAGGGCCAAGACAUCGGAAUAAGUUGUUGGGCUGUGUGCUGCUGUCGGUAAUAAGUCUCCGUAGACCUGGAACGUCACCUCGCCGAGAUCAUCUGGGAAGAUGACUGCUUCUCUUACAACCAAAACUGGACCUUUGGCAUUCUGGACUAGUUCUGUUCUCUUGUGGCCAAGUGUAACUCGUGUACAAUAAAUCCUCUUGCUGUCAGCUGAAGAAUCAAA